CAGUGCAGUUCUCCUCUGGCAUGGAUGCUAAUGUAGCAGGCCCUGCACAAUGGACUAUGCUAUCACUGUCCCUGCCAAAGGAGAAUUACCCUGCCAGUGC
Non-coding RNA from Brachypodium distachyon (stiff brome), 100 nucleotides. NCBI's taxonomy places the organism in Eukaryota, Viridiplantae, Streptophyta, Magnoliopsida, Poales, Poaceae. The record is from RefSeq and is marked provisional.